This 763-nucleotide ribosomal RNA is filed under the name uncultured bacterium. Its description in RNAcentral is "bacterial SSU rRNA". It matches the Rfam family "Bacterial small subunit ribosomal RNA", at positions 57 to 819 of the family's 1533-position model. The record is from RNAcentral.
GCAAGUCGAACGAGAAAGUAUCCUUCGGGAUACAAGUACAGUGGCGCACGGGUGAGUAACGCGUAGGCAACCUACCCUCGAGUGGGGAAUAACCAUCGGAAACGGUGGCUAAUACCGCAUGCUGUCGUGCAUCGCAUGGUGCACGAUGAAAGUUUUCGGAUGCUUGAGGAUGGGCCUGCGUCGGAUUAGUUAGUAGGUAGGGUAACGGCCUACCUAGGCAGCGAUCCGUAGCUGGUCUGAGAGGACGAUCAGCCACACUGGCACUGAGACACGGGCCAGACUUCUACGGAAGGCAGCAGUAGGGAAUAUUGGGCAAUGGGCGAAAGCCUGACCCAGCCACGCCGCGUGGAGGAAGACACCCCUAUGGGGCGUAAACUCCUUUUAUACGGGAAGAACCCCUCCCUCAGGGAGCCUGACGGUACCGUAUGAAUAAGCACCGGCUAACUCCGUGCCAGCAGCCGCGGUAAUACGGAGGGUGCAAGCGUUGUCCGGAUUCACUGGGUGUAAAGGGUGUGUAGGCGGGACGGUAUGUCAGAGGUGAAAGCCCACGGCUCAACCGUGGAAUUGCCUUUGAAACUGCCGUUCUUGAGUCUCGGAGAGGUCGCUGGAAUUCGUGGUGUAGCGGUGAAAUGCGUAUAUAUCACGAGGAACACCAGAGGCGUAGGCGGGCGACUGGACGAGUACUGACGCUGAGGCACGAAAGCGUGGGGAGCAAACAGGAUUAGAUACCCUGGUAGUCCACGCCGUAAACGAUGGAUGCUCG